RNAcentral lists this long non-coding RNA (400 nucleotides) under Mytilus galloprovincialis (Mediterranean mussel). The record is from RNAcentral. Lineage: Eukaryota; Metazoa; Mollusca; Bivalvia; Mytilida; Mytilidae.
UGUUCUGUUCUGUUCUGUUCUAGAAAAUCCCUCCUUCAAAGGAGCACUUCGCACAAUGACGAAUGUUUAUAUAUAUAAUUAUAUGUACCUAAAAAGACAUACUACGUACGCCUCGUGAGAUGAGUGUUGGUUACUGUCAAAGACCCUUACGCUUGCUUGGCGGAAGGUUUUUAAUAAUACGAGUUCGUAGUCCAUGUAGAGCAAAGCAAAGCUUCCUUGUGAUGUAUUCUACAGUGUAGCAGAAAUCCAUGCAUUUACAUUUACAACCACAAGCACAAAUAAAGCUACUAGGGUCUAAUAUAAAGUUAGUGUCUAGUGUGAUGUUACUAUGGAUACUACAUUUCAUGCACACAUCAAUACUACCAAUAAAAUUAUCUAAUUCUUGUAGAUAAGGUGAACG